GAGUUAAGAAAACUUUUACUUUGAGCUAUUUACAGCCUUUAGCAAUUGAGUAAAGUAUACUUCUGUGGAAAAAAAAAAUGGACCAUAUUUGUUUCUCUCUACCUGAUUUCUCCAGAAUUUGGAGACUGUUUGAAUGAAACUUGACUUAUAGAGCCAAUAAAAACCCCUUGGGGAACUGACCUUCUACCUUGCCUACACAGUCCCUAUACAGGGUUUCUGGCCUGUGGUGAAACAAAUUGAAGAUAAUGCCACUAACUAAUGAAAGCCACCCUGAAGAAUUUAUUCUGCUAGGCUUUGCAGACCGCCCUUGGCUAGAGCUUCCUCUGUUCACUAGUCUUCUUAUAAUGUACCCUAUAGCCGUGAUGGGAAACAUCACAAUCAUUCUCAUGUCCAGGUUAGACUCUCGUCUUCAUAGCCCCAUGUAUUUCUUCCUCACCAACCUCUCCUUUUUGGACAUGUGUUAUACCACAAGCAUUGUCCCUCAGAUGCUGUUUAACCUGGGAAGCUCUAAGAAGACCAUCAGCUAUAUGGGGUGUGCGGUUCAGCUUUAUUUCUUUCACAUAAUGGGGGGAACAGAAUGUUUGCUUUUGGCUAUUAUGUCCUUUGAUCGCUAUGUGGCCAUCUGCAGACCUCUUCACUACACCCUCAUCAUGAAUCAGCGCGUCUGUAUCCUUAGUUUCCACCGUGUGGCUAAUUGGAAUAAUCUAUGCUGUCUCAGAGGCCACUGCCACAUUACAAUUGCCACUGUGUGGUCUCAAUAAACUGGACCACUUGGUGUGUGAGAUUCCUGUUCUGAUAAAGAUUGCCUGUGGUGAAAAGGGUUCUAACGAGCUCACACUCUCUGUGGUAUGCAUUUUUAUGUUAGCUGUCCCACUAUGCUUAAUUCUUGCUUCCUAUGCUAGUAUUGGAAGUGCUGUAUUUAAGAUCAAAUCUUCCAAGGGAAGGAAAAAGGCCUUUGGGACAUGCUCCUCCCAUCUUAUUGUAGUUUUCUUAUUUUAUGGCCCAGCCAUCAGCAUGUACCUUCAGCCCCCCUCCUCCAUCUCAAGGGAUCAACCCAAGUUCAUGGCCCUCUUCUAUGGAGUGGUGACUCCCUCACUCAACCCUUUUAUCUACACCCUGCGGAAUAAGAAUGUAAAGGGGGCAUUACGCAACUUGGUGAGGAGCAUUUUCAGCUUUAAGUGAUAGUGGGUAGACAUAAAAUGAAGUUAUUGAACAGUUAGAGUAGGUUGCUAUGGUUUUAUCUAACAAAUUCUUGUCUCAUAAUCAAAUAUCGCUUUACAUGUUCUUGCAAAAUAUGUUAUGUCUCCGAGACUCUUUGUAAACAUGUUCAGCAAGGAUUAUACUUGGCUAGUAGGCACAUUAUAUUAUGGAAAUAUAUUAAAAUAGUUCUAUACUGGUUGGUACAUACAGAGAUAGUAACUGUGUUAAGUAGUAAAAAAAUUAGUAAAAUGAAUUUAUUAGUUCAAGCUAAUUGUAAAAAUAGUAUAGCAACCACUCAUCAAUGAGCCUCCUGUCAGAGUCACCUGAGAAACAUUCCAUCACUCUCUGCAUGUUGUCCCAAGUCUAAAUGGGCAGUGUGGCUACACUGGGCAUUCAAUGUGAAGCACAUUAUACUUUGGAAUAAUCAUGAGUCUCAUAAGCUUAUCAACCCC
This is a long non-coding RNA of Homo sapiens (human), 1652 nucleotides long. Lineage: Eukaryota; Metazoa; Chordata; Mammalia; Primates; Hominidae. The record is from Ensembl.